UCGGUUGGUGACUGCGGGAGACAUUA
RNAcentral lists this ribosomal RNA (26 nucleotides) under Ramaria sp. 4 AK-2012. Its description in RNAcentral is "partial 18S ribosomal RNA". Lineage: Eukaryota; Fungi; Basidiomycota; Agaricomycetes; Gomphales; Gomphaceae. The record is from RNAcentral.